RNAcentral lists this long non-coding RNA (260 nucleotides) under Prunus persica (peach). RNAcentral's name for it is "long non-coding RNA (PPER_LNC002950)". Lineage: Eukaryota; Viridiplantae; Streptophyta; Magnoliopsida; Rosales; Rosaceae. The record is from RNAcentral.
CCUGACCUUGCCAUUUAUACACCAGGUUCAAGUUUUCAGUAGAUAUUAUAUUAAUUACAUGCUUAAUCUACUUUCUUAAUGAAGCCUAUGAUAUAAUGUUUCAUACUAAGCUAAGCAUGAAUGACUCUUAGUAGGCUUAAUUGCUAAGCUAAGCAGCUAAAGCUCAUAAUUUUCUGAUGUUAUAGAGGUUGAGAAAACACCACAGAGCCAUACCAUUAGCAUUUUCUAUAUGUAAUGUAAUGGUUUCUUCUUUUCUCUCU